Myotis lucifugus (little brown bat) is the source of this 76-nucleotide non-coding RNA. Lineage: Eukaryota; Metazoa; Chordata; Mammalia; Chiroptera; Vespertilionidae. The record is from Rfam.
GAGACAGUCUUCUGGGGCAAGACUUGCUUCAGUGGGGCUUUGGUGCUCACUGAGUCUGCCCCCUGAGUGUGUCCCU